CAUUAUGAUGACAUCAUAACUUUUUGCCUUGAUAGUUGAUAGGGAGUGCUGACAGCAUUAUUUGAGGAAUUGUUAGCAUUGUUUAGGUGGUGUUUGGGUUGCCUGGACUGAGAAGGAAGUUUCGUGUUUGACCAUGUAAAAUAUAGUUUUAAGUUUUUUUUUGUGUGUGUGUGUGUGUGUGUUAAAUUUGAAAGCAGAUUCAGCCACAGGUAUUUGUUUGAGAACAAAUGAAACUGCUGCCUAUGAGUUAAAUGUUACAGUUACAGUUCUUUGUAGACUAAGUAAAAUUGAAGAGAACCUAUUGAAGAAAGUUCAAAAGAAAUUUCAAGAGAAUUUUUUAGGUUGUGUUUGGAUCUUGGAUUUAGUGAGAGAUUUGUGAAGGGAAUAGAAAAAAGGGAGGGAAAAAUGAAUGAAAUAGGUACUAAUUUUUUUAAAUAUAAAUCUCUUCCCCGUUUAUUUGACCUCCACAAAUCCAAGAUCCUAACAUACCCAUUGUCAAUUGACAAUCCUUACAAAGGGUGAACUGAUGCUCUACAGGAAGUGACCUUUUGGGAUAUAAAAAUGAAAAAUGAAGCUUAUAGGCUUACAAGGUCAGAUUCAAGUUUCUCCAGAAAUUCACCUAUAUGCAGCUUGGAAAGAUUGUCUUCUCAUAGUAAUGUCAAUCUUCAGUGUUAUUGGGUGACCUCUAGACAAGCUUAGCAAACAGAGGACAGUGAAGUUGAAAUGUUUGGGGAAAUCAGAUUGCUUUGGCUAGUAUUUAUGAUUUGUUUGUGCACUUGUUUUUUUUGGAAAAUUAAUCGUGAGCGAAUGAAUUACUAGAAAACAAAUCGUAAAACUUGUCUGACCUGGUGGAUUUUGGUAAGAUGAAUCACUUAGGAUAACUAACAGGACACUGAAUUUUUAAUCAAAUUAUAUGAUGCUUAUCAUUGUCAAUGUUUUACUUUGCAGGUCAUUUGAUGCGAGAGAGACUAGAUAUAAGACGAGCAAAACAUAGGAGAGAAAUGGUUGAGCUGCCUAUAGGUAGCCAGAAUGUAUGAAGUCUACAUCACUAAGGAGAGGAUCUAAAUUCCAAGCAGACCCAAAUCCUCAUGCCUCAUAUGAAGUCAGCUUGGACGUACAAUUAUCCCUCCUCUGUCCAGAUUAGAGGCGACAUCUGGACCCACAUGUCUUCGUGAAGUUGUUUUGACAUGGUUUAGUUGAUUUUCGAGAGGUAUUAACAUGGGAUUGUUUAUCCAACCACUUAAAUUAUACCACCAAAUUGAAGGCCUAUUCCUAUUUACAAGUAAA
Molecule: non-coding RNA, 1287 nt
Organism: Camellia sinensis
Lineage: Eukaryota; Viridiplantae; Streptophyta; Magnoliopsida; Ericales; Theaceae
Source: RefSeq, a predicted model, not a curated record